This 462-nucleotide ribosomal RNA is filed under the name uncultured bacterium. RNAcentral's name for it is "partial 16S ribosomal RNA". It matches the Rfam family "Bacterial small subunit ribosomal RNA", at positions 32 to 507 of the family's 1533-position model. The record is from RNAcentral.
AACCAACGCUGGCGGCGUGCCUAAUACAUGCAAGUCGAACGGGGAAAGCUUUCGGGUGAGUACUAGUGGCGCACGGGUGAGGAACGCGUGGAUAAUCUGCCUUAGAGUGGGGGAUAACUAGUCGAAAGAUUAGCUAAUACCGCAUAAGACCACGAGAGCUGCGGCUUUUGAGGUCAAAGGUUUUUCGCUCUAAGAUGAGUCCGCGUAAGAUUAGCUAGUUGGUGAGGUAACGGCUCACCAAGGCGACGAUCUUUAACUGGUCUGAGAGGAUGAUCAGUCACACUGGAAGUGGGACACGGUCCAGACUCCUACGGGAGGAAGCAGGAGGGAAUAUUGCACAAUGGAGGAAACUCUGAUGCAGCGCCGCCGCGUGAGUGAUGAAGGCCUUCGGGUCGUAAAGCUCUGUCGCAGGGGAAUAACACAAUGAAGGUACCCUGUAAGAAAGGAUCGGCUAACUUCGUG